GACGAACGCUGGUGGCGUGCUUAACACAUGCAAGUCGAACGGGAUUUAGUAAACAGAAGCCUCGGUGGAAGAUUACUAAUGAGAGUGGCGAACGGGUGAGUAACGCGUGGGCAACCUGCCUAUGACAGUGGGAUAGCCUCGGGAAACCGGGAUUAAUACCGCAUAAAAUCGUAGAAAAACAUGUUUUAACGGUCAAAGAUUUAUCGGUCAUAGAUGGGCUCGCGUCUGAUUAGCUAGUUGGUGAGAUAACAGCCCACCAAGGCGACGAUCAGUAGCCGGUCUGAGAGGAUGAACGGCCACAUUGGAACUGAGACACGGUCCAAACUCCUACGGGAGGCAGCAGUGGGGAAUAUUGCACAAUGGGGGAAACCCUGAUGCAGCGACGCCGCGUGAACGAAGAAGGUAUUCGUAUCGUAAAGUUCUGUCCUACGGGAAGAUAAUGACAGUACCAUAGAAGAAAGCUCCGGCUAAAUACGUG
This 478-nucleotide ribosomal RNA is filed under the name uncultured bacterium. RNAcentral's name for it is "partial 16S ribosomal RNA". It matches the Rfam family "Bacterial small subunit ribosomal RNA", at positions 28 to 507 of the family's 1533-position model. The record is from RNAcentral.